Molecule: unclassified non-coding RNA, 218 nt
Filed under: Hevea brasiliensis (rubber tree)
Lineage: Eukaryota; Viridiplantae; Streptophyta; Magnoliopsida; Malpighiales; Euphorbiaceae
Source: RNAcentral
GCACGAACUGAACUAGAUAUAGCAGGUAUUGUGUCUUAAAAUCAGCUUGGAAUUACUUCAAUCAUUGGCCUCCUCCUUUCAACUCGGGAUGCUUAAUGCUACCUUUUUUUUUAUAAAGGUAAAGUUGUAUUCUUCUGCAUUAAAGGUAUGCUGGCUACCUCCAAAAAGGAAUAAAGAGGCGAACUGGUUUUUUAAUGUCAGGAAUAUAAAUCAUCAAU